CUUACGGGAGGCAGCAGUGGGGAAUAUUGCGCAAGGGGGCAAAGCCUGAUGCAGCUAUGCCGCGUGUAUGAAGAAGGCCUUAGGGUUGUAAAGUACUUUCAGCAGGGAGGAAAGAAAUAAAACUAAUAAUUUUAUUUUGUGACGGUACCCGGAGAAGAAGCCCCGGCUAACUUCGUGCCAGCAGCCGCGGUAAU
RNAcentral lists this ribosomal RNA (194 nucleotides) under Buchnera aphidicola (Myzus persicae). Its description in RNAcentral is "partial 16S ribosomal RNA". It matches the Rfam family "Bacterial small subunit ribosomal RNA", at positions 338 to 524 of the family's 1533-position model. The record is from RNAcentral. Lineage: Bacteria; Pseudomonadati; Pseudomonadota; Gammaproteobacteria; Enterobacterales; Erwiniaceae.